Molecule: ribosomal RNA, 548 nt
Filed under: uncultured Glomeromycotina
Lineage: Eukaryota; Fungi; Glomeromycota
Description: SSU rRNA
Rfam family: Eukaryotic small subunit ribosomal RNA
Source: RNAcentral
UUGGAGGGCAAGUCUGGUGCCAGCAGCCGCGGUAAUUCCAGCGCCAAUAGCGUAUAUUAAAGUUGUUGCAGUUAAAAAGCUCGUAGUUGAAUUUCGGGGUCAGUAGGCUGGUCGUGCCACAGGUAUGUACUGGUCUCACUGAUUCCUCCUUCCUGAUGAACCGUAAUGCCAUUAAUUUGGUGUUGCGGGGAAUCUGGACUGUUACUUUGAAAAAAUUAGAGUGUUUAAAGCAGGCUAACGCUUGAAUACAUUAGCAUGGAAUAAUGAAAUAGGACGAUCGAUCCUAUUUUGUUGGUUUCUAGGAUUGACGUAAUGAUUAAUAGGGAUAGUUGGGGGCAUUAGUAUUCAAUUGUCAGAGGUGAAAUUCUUGGAUUUAUUGAAGACUAACUACUGCGAAAGCAUUUGCCAAGGAUGUUUUCAUUAAUCAAGAACGAAAGUUAGGGGAUCGAAGACGAUCAGAUACCGUCGUAGUCUUAACCAUAAACUAUGCCGACUAGGGAUCGGAUGAUGUUAAUUUUUUAAUGACUCAUUCGGCGCCUUACGGGAAA